Molecule: long non-coding RNA, 555 nt
Filed under: Actinidia chinensis (golden kiwifruit)
Lineage: Eukaryota; Viridiplantae; Streptophyta; Magnoliopsida; Ericales; Actinidiaceae
Description: long non-coding RNA (ACHI_LNC001184)
Source: RNAcentral
CCCGUGAUCUCUAUGCUUUUUGCUUUUGCUGUCAUUCUGAAAAAAAUGUGAUCUAUAUUAUAUUGUAUUACACACUAUUUUCUUAGCAUGUUUUGUCUUAUACAAUUAUUUCUUGGGAUGCUAUUUUUAAUUUUAUGCUAUGAUUUUUUUGUAAUGAAUGAUAAGCUAUUCAAUAACACAAGUAAGUUUGAAAAAAUAUUACAGUCUAUUCCAGUUCAAAUUCCCUAGAUGCAUAGCGUUCGUGAAAUGAAAACGUGAACAUGAGAUUGAUUUUAUUUAUGGUAAGAAACUCCAUCAAUCGAGCGCCUAAAGCUUAUUUGACAACUAUGCAGCCAACACCACAAGCCACUGUGAGCCAACACUCGGAACUCAUGGACUCGAUUUUGAAGCUCACAAUGAGUGACCUCGCGAAUCGAUUACCAGUUUAAUAUUCUUACUUAGCUUUUUUUUCGAUUUAAUAUUUCUUUAUUAGGUGAAUUUGUUGUUAAAAAACCUCUUUUCUUUUUUUACAAAAAAAGAAUUAUUACAAUAGAGAUACCCUAAGUUUUUGUUGUU